UACGUAGGUGGCAAGCGUUAUCCGGAUUUAUUGGGCGUAAAGGGAACGCAGGCGGUCUUUUAAGUCUGAUGUGAAAGCCUUCGGCUUAACCGGAGUAGUGCAUUGGAAACUGGGAGACUUGAGUGCAGAAGAGGGGAGUGGAACUCCAUGUGUAGCGGUGAAAUGCGUAGAUAUAUGGAGGAACACCGGUGGCGAAAGCGGCUCUCUGGCCUGUAACUGACACUGAGGCUCGAAAGCGUGGGGAGCAAACAGG
This 253-nucleotide ribosomal RNA is filed under the name uncultured bacterium. RNAcentral describes it as "partial 16S ribosomal RNA". It matches the Rfam family "Bacterial small subunit ribosomal RNA", at positions 524 to 776 of the family's 1533-position model. The record is from RNAcentral.